RNAcentral lists this long non-coding RNA (299 nucleotides) under Elaeis guineensis (African oil palm). Its description in RNAcentral is "long non-coding RNA (EGUI_LNC059193)". The record is from RNAcentral. Lineage: Eukaryota; Viridiplantae; Streptophyta; Magnoliopsida; Arecales; Arecaceae.
UAUCCCAUAGAAUGGAAAGAGAGGGUCUUUAAACCUUACUUGCUCUUAUGACCGGAUGGUCUGGUGAUGAACCCCAAUAAGAGUACUAAGCUACUAAGAAAGAUUCUAUAUAUAUAUCAUGCAUUCAACUAAAAUAUAUCUCUAAGACAUGCUAGGUUUUGGAUGUUCAAUUGGGUUCAACCCUUGACCCAACUUGAACCAAACUAAAAACCCAAGCUUGAUCACAAUCAAGAUAAUAUUUUAACCUUUGAUUGUAUAAAUCAAGGUAGGCUCUGAUACCACUGUUGGAUUUCGAUGGC